AGAGUUUGAUCCUGGCUCAGGAUGAACGCUAGCGGGAGGCUUAACACAUGCAAGUCGAGGGGUAACAGGGGUAGCAAUACCUGCUGACGACCGGCGUACGGGUGAGUAACGCGUAUGCAACCUGCCCUAUACAGGAGGAUAGCCCGGAGAAAUUCGGAUUAAUACUCCAUGUAGCAUUUUUUUCGCAUGAAUUAGAUGUUAAAGAUUUAUCGGUAUAGGAUGGGCAUGCGUCCCAUUAGCUAGUUGGUGAGGUAACGGCUCACCAAGGCAUCGAUGGGUAUGGGGUCUUAAAGGAUGGUCCCACACACUGGCACUGAGACACGGGCCAGACUCCUACGGGAGGCAGCAGUGAGGAAUAUUGGUCAAUGGGCGAGAGCCUGAACCAGCCAUCCCGCGUGCAGGAUGACAGUCCUAGUGAUUGUAAACUGCUUUUCUAUAAGAUGAAUAAGGACUACGUGUAGUUCGAUGACCGUAUUAUAGGAAUAAGCAUCGGCUAACUCCGUGCCAGCAGCCGCGGUAAUACGGAGGAUGCAAGCGUUAUCCGGAUUUAUUAGGUUUAAAGGGUGCGUAGGUGGGCGUUUAAGUCAGUGGUUAAAGCCAAUAGCUUAACUAUUGUAUGCCAUUGAAACUGGAUGUCUUGAAUGGGUAGAGGUAGGCGGAAUGUGUUGUGUAGCGGUGAAAUGCUUAGAUAUAACACAGAACACCGAUUGCGAAGGCAGCUUACUAUUCCAUUAUUGACACUGAUGCACGAAAGCGUGGGGAUCAAACAGGAUUAGAUACCCUGGUAGUCCACGCUGUAAACGAUGAUCACUCGUUUUUGGCAAUACAUCGUCAGAGACUAAGCGAAAGCAUUAAGUGAUCCACCUGGGGAGUACGUUCGCAAGAAUGAAACUCAAAGGAAUUGACGGGGGCCCGCACAAGCGGAGGAACAUGUGGUUUAAUUCGAUGAUACGCGAGGAACCUUACCUGGGCUUAAAUGUAUAGUGCAUAAUAUGGAAACAUAUUUUUCCUUCGGGACUCUUUACAAGGUGCUGCAUGGUUGUCGUCAGCUCGU
This 1054-nucleotide ribosomal RNA is filed under the name uncultured bacterium BD_contig02439. RNAcentral describes it as "bacterial SSU rRNA". It matches the Rfam family "Bacterial small subunit ribosomal RNA", at positions 8 to 1063 of the family's 1533-position model. The record is from RNAcentral.